UUGCACAAUGGGGGAAACCCGUACGAUGCAGCCAUGCCGCGUGUGUGAAGAAGGCCUUCGGGUUGUAAAGCACUUUCAGUAGGGAGGAAGGUAGUGUAGUUAACACCUGCAUUAUUUGACGUUACCUACAGAAGAAGCACCGGCUAACUCCGUGCCAGCAGCCGCGGUAAUACGGAGGGUGCGAGCGUUAAUCGGAAUUACUGGGCGUAAAGCGCAUGCAGGCGGCCUGUUAAGUCAGAUGUGAAAGCCCGGGGCUUAACCUCGGAAUUGCAUUUGAAACUGGCAGGCUAGAGUCUUGUAGAGGGGGGUAGGAAUUUCAGGUGUAGCGGUGAAAUGCGUAGAGAUCUGAAGGAAUACCAGUGGCGAAGGCGGCCCCCUGGACAAAGACUGACGCUCAGAUGCGAAAGCGUGGGGAGCAAACAGGAUUAGAUACCCUGGUAG
Molecule: ribosomal RNA, 441 nt
Filed under: uncultured bacterium
Lineage: Bacteria
Description: bacterial SSU rRNA
Rfam family: Bacterial small subunit ribosomal RNA
Source: RNAcentral